AUUGGAUGAGCCCGCGGCCUAUCAGCUUGUUGGCGGGGUAACGGCCCACCGAGGCGACGACGGGUAGCUGGUCUGAGAGGACGACCAGCCACACUGGGACUGAGACACGGCCCAGACUCCUACGGGAGGCAGCAGUGGGGAAUAUUGCGCCAAUGCGCGAAAGCGUGACGCAGCGACGCCGCGUGGGGGAUGAAGGCCUUCGGGUUGUAAACCCCUUUCGCCAGGGACGAAGCGAAAGUGGCGGUACCUGGGGAAGAAGUCCCGGCUAACUACGUGCCAGCAGCCGCGGCCGAAU
RNAcentral lists this ribosomal RNA (295 nucleotides) under uncultured actinomycete. RNAcentral describes it as "partial 16S ribosomal RNA". It matches the Rfam family "Bacterial small subunit ribosomal RNA", at positions 220 to 526 of the family's 1533-position model. Lineage: Bacteria; Bacillati; Actinomycetota; Actinomycetes; Actinomycetales. The record is from RNAcentral.